UCUCAAAAAGUGUUCCUUUCUGUCCUUCCCUAAUAGAUACAAACUCACCAGUGGUAUUUGAACCAAAGUCUUCUGUUUAUCACUAUCGUAUUUUCAACGGGCUUUCCUUGCACUUGAGUCUUUUCCAAAAUGAAGAAUAACUUGAUGCCUUCUCUUGAAGACCUCAACAUGAGGUGGGAAUUGCAUGGUGUAGACCAUAAUGUUUGGCCCCCUACUGGAUGGAUUUCCAACACCUGAAAGAGCCCAUCAUCAUUCCUUACUAUAAUCAGGUCUACUUUCUUCUAGAAAAGACUCAUUCUUAUAAAAAUCAUGAUAGUUUGACAAGCUGAGGGCAAUUACCUGAUCAAUAUCAGUCAGAAUGAGAAGCCCAUGAUGGAUGCCCCUCUGGAGUGAAAGAAAAGCAGCAGAGACAUAUUAAAUUAAGCCAGUCUCAUUUGGCCCAUCACGAGAAGAUACUGAAGCAAGGUAAUUUGACCUUUAAAAAAAAAAAAUUGAGAGAUCUGCUUCAUCCUAGUAUGAAGAAAGGUCCCAGACAGGGUAAUUAGAGAAUUUCAAUAAUUGCUGGUUUUGCAACAAAGGAUUUUUCUCAAGUCCCUUUGGAUCUCAAACUGCACAUUAAGAAAAAUUAGCAAGCCCAUUUCUUCAGUUCCAAUUGAGUAGGUGGGGAUAUUCCAUGGGCAAAAGAAAAAAUGGGAAAUGAGCCCUCGUCAACUCCUCAGACACCAUAAGUCUUAACCCACUCUUUUCAAGUUGACAGGUUAAUAAAUAGUUUAAUUAUA
Molecule: non-coding RNA, 779 nt
Organism: Ictidomys tridecemlineatus (thirteen-lined ground squirrel)
Lineage: Eukaryota; Metazoa; Chordata; Mammalia; Rodentia; Sciuridae
Source: RefSeq, a predicted model, not a curated record